CAACACAAAGAACACAGGGAUGAAGUGCGAGGCUGAGGUUACCACCAGGGAAAUUGGCAUAAACAAGGACUCACAAGCUGAAGAAGAGGAGAAGCAGAAGAAAGAUAAGGUACAAAAAGGUAAGGAGACAAAGAAAGAAACUGAUAAGAAGGAGAGGAGUGAUAAGGAAAGAAAACCCAAUGAGAAGGACAAGAGCAGAGACGUUGACAAGCUGAACAGAAGUUAGAGAAGAUCAAUGGAAAAAUAGAAGCUCUUCUUGAGAAAAAAGAUGAAAUUGAGGAAGAUAAAAGAAGCCGAGAGCGGGAACAGCACUGUUCCUGAGAAAGAAAAGGAUGCCCCGAAGCCUGGUGCGGAGUAAUCCCUUUUGGGAACAGCAUCGUUCUAUAGUUUUUUGCGAGUAUGAUCCUUUUCCAUUGUAAUUAUAUGUUUCUUUUCAUAUAACUAUGGAUUAAUGAGAAUAGAAUGUGAAUUACUACCACCUUUGAUGAAUAAAACUACUAUGCAGUUUUACUUUUGUUCCAUUGCCUAUAAUUUCUUUUAUGACACUCGCAUUUAAAGCAGCCUUCAUGUUGCAUUUGCUUCAUUAAGUAGAAUCCAUUUAGUAUCUUCACUCCGCUGUUGUUUCAUAUCAUACAUCAUUUGAAUCCAUCAAUGAAACUAUUAGUAUCAUCCUAGGCAUUUAACACUGAUAUUUUGCUCUUGGUUCCCUGUUUGAUAGUGCUCGUUAGUUUUAACAUGGCGUGCCAGUGUCCAUCUGGCCUGCCAGCUAGACGUGCUGUCCAAACAUGAUAUGGAUUGUCCACUGCUGUUAGUCUUGAUGACAAAAAAAACUUCACAUUAUACCUGCACAUUCUUUGGACAUCCAUUUUCAGCGAUGGUUGUUCUUGCUGUGGACGAUGUCUUUUAGUGUUCCAGUGCCAUCAUCAUUGUUUUAGACUGUUCUGUGAUCACAAGGUGAAUGAUUUUGUUCAAGGAGAUGUUGCGUAUAGAUCUAUGCAUUGUCCUGGUAGUCUGUGGUAAGUAUUUUUCAUUUGCACUCUACAUAGGCUUUUUAACAGUUAUAAUUUUACUUGAGAAAAAUAAGACAAUGUUUAUAUGUGUGUAUCACUCUCGAAAGCAGAAUCCCAGCAAAUUUUUGUGACAACGAUUCUUGAUCAUUAGGUUUUACAGUAUCAGGUUAACCCAUUUAUCUUGCAGAACCUGCAAGCAACAGAGAUUCCUGCAAGGUUUUUUUUUGUUAGAAUUUGAACUCAGGAUGUGUUGUAUGCCCAACCACAGUCCCUUUGCUAGGAUUUGAACUGAGGAUGUGGUGUACUUAAUCAGUAUCCCUGGUCCGAAUCUUUGUCAACACACUAAAUAAAGGCAGAAAUUUUGGAA
Molecule: long non-coding RNA, 1377 nt
Organism: Populus nigra (black poplar)
Lineage: Eukaryota; Viridiplantae; Streptophyta; Magnoliopsida; Malpighiales; Salicaceae
Exons: 2
Source: RefSeq, a predicted model, not a curated record